Molecule: ribosomal RNA, 431 nt
Filed under: uncultured bacterium
Lineage: Bacteria
Description: partial 16S ribosomal RNA
Rfam family: Bacterial small subunit ribosomal RNA
Source: RNAcentral
AACGAACGCUGGCGGCAGGCUUAACACAUGCAAGUCGAACGCCCCGCCAGGGGAGUUGCAGACGGGUGGGUAACGCGUGGGAAUCUACCCAUCCCUACGGAAUAACGCACGGAAACGGGUGCUAAUACCGUAUACGCCCUACGGGGGAAAGAUUUAUCGGGGAUGGAUGAGCCCGCGUUGGAUUAGCUAGUUGGUGGGGUAAAGGCCUCCCAAGGCGACGAUCCAUAGCUGGUCUGAGAGGAUGAUCAGCCACAUUGGGACUGAGACACGGCCCAAACUCCUACGGAAGGCAGCAGUGGGGAACAUUGGACAAUGGGCGCAAGCCUGAUCCAGCCAUGCCCCGUGAGUGAUGAAGGCCUUAGGGUUGUAAAGCUCUUUCACCGGAGAAGAUAAUGACGGUAUCCGGAGAAGAAGCCCCGGCUAACUACGUG